This 61-nucleotide ribosomal RNA is filed under the name Rhododendron vernicosum. RNAcentral's name for it is "partial 5.8S ribosomal RNA". The record is from RNAcentral. Lineage: Eukaryota; Viridiplantae; Streptophyta; Magnoliopsida; Ericales; Ericaceae.
AGCCGCGCAGCACAGUCACAUAUCACGAGUAUGCAUAGGCACGUCUGCCUGGGCGUCACGC